UCAUCAUCAUCUUCAUACCCAAGAAACACAAAACAUUUCUCUCUCUCAUAUUUCUCAAAGUCUGUCUCUCUUCACUUCGGUAUGAAGAUGACGAAUGCGAAUUCCUUUUCUUCUUCUUCUUCCUUUUAUGGAUGAUUUCUUAGAAUCUUGAUGUCAUAGUUUUGGGAAGAAAUUGUACUAAAGAUAUCCCAUAAAAGAAAAAAUCCACGGGUAAAAACCCUAAAAAUCACCAUCCUCUUUCCGGCCAUUUUACCCAAAACCACCGUCCAUCCACAAUCCCACAUUGUAAGCCUCACCCUUUCAUUUUCCAUUUCCUCUAUUCAUGUUACGAUUCUCGCCCAAAAAAACAGAGGAAAGAAUAAGGGGGGAAAGAUCAGCAGAAAGGGAGGGAAGGGUUAGGGUUGAGUACCAGCAGCGGCAGAGGAUCUGGGUUUAUGACUCCGGAGGGUUAUGGGGACCUCUUGUCUUCUGUUCCAAUAGAUUGGUCAUUUUCCUGAAAUGGCCAAUAACUCCCGAUCCACAGGCAUGCAGGGUGAUGCUGAAUUUGUACCCCCAGCAUUGGUGAUAAGUUGACAACUGCUGGGCUUUGCUGCAGUUUUCUUAAUUUAAAUAGAAUAGAAUACAGUAAAAAAUGGGGGGAGCUUGUUCCAGGAAGCAAGACCAACCGGUAAACGAGGAUAACCUGAACCGAGGGGCUUCUGGUAGAUAUACUAAAAGUGGGAGCUCAAAAUGGCUACGAACCUCAUUUUCUAGAUCAUCUAUUGGACAUAAACAAAUAUAGCACCUUCUCCAUGCUGCCAAAGGAUAUAAGUCACAGAUUUUUGACGAUUUAGUGUGUUCCCAAUGUCUAACUGAUUAUGUACUUGAAGCUUUUCGGGAUUGUGCUCUUCAGGUUUGCAAGCUUUGCUAAGUGAAGAAAUGGGUCACAAAUUGCUUUGGCUGUCUAAAGGAUAGACAGCAGCUGGUCUCAUGAGCUCACUUUUCUGUUUGUUGCAGGAUCUUAAUUUGGGAGAAUACCCAGGAUUUAAUGACAAUUGGAUGGACAUCGUCUCUUCACAGGGUUCAUCUCUACUCUCUGUGGAUCUUUCGGGUUCG
Sesamum indicum (sesame) is the source of this 1095-nucleotide non-coding RNA. The record is from RefSeq and is a predicted model, not a curated record. Lineage: Eukaryota; Viridiplantae; Streptophyta; Magnoliopsida; Lamiales; Pedaliaceae.